This 254-nucleotide ribosomal RNA is filed under the name uncultured bacterium. RNAcentral's name for it is "partial 16S ribosomal RNA". It matches the Rfam family "Bacterial small subunit ribosomal RNA", at positions 524 to 776 of the family's 1533-position model. The record is from RNAcentral.
UACAGGGGGGGGCAAGCGUUGUUCGGAAUUACUGGGCGUAAAGGGCUCGUAGGCGGCCAACUAAGUCCGACGUGAAAUCCCAAAGCUUAACUUUGGAACUGCGUCGGAUACUGGAUGGCUUGAAUUCGGGAGAGGGAUGCAGAAUUCCAGGUGUAGCGGUGAAAUGCGUAGAUAUCUGGAGGAAUACCGGUGGCGAAGGCGGCAUCCUGGACCGACAUUGACGCUGAUGAGCGAAAGCUAGGGGAGCAAACGGG